UCAGAUCAAGCCAAAAUCCGGGUAACCGGAUGACGGAAAGCCGCGGGUCCACUAAAUGUUGAGGGAUAGCCGGGUUGCCUGAG
Molecule: non-coding RNA, 83 nt
Filed under: Smithella sp. SCADC
Lineage: Bacteria; Pseudomonadati; Thermodesulfobacteriota; Syntrophia; Syntrophales; Smithellaceae
Also listed under: 1 other name
Description: c-di-GMP-I-GGC riboswitch aptamer
Rfam family: c-di-GMP-I-GGC riboswitch aptamer
Source: Rfam by way of RNAcentral